Molecule: ribosomal RNA, 400 nt
Filed under: uncultured bacterium
Lineage: Bacteria
Description: bacterial SSU rRNA
Rfam family: Bacterial small subunit ribosomal RNA
Source: RNAcentral
UGGGGAAUUUUGGACAAUGGGGGCAACCCUGAUCCAGCAACGCCGCGUGAAUGAAGAAGGCCCUAGGGUUGUAAAGUUCUUUUGUCGCAGAGCAAAGCUAUCUGGCUAAUACCUAGAUAGGAUGAGAGUAUGCGAAGAAUAAGCACCGGCUAACUACGUGCCAGCAGCCGCGGUAAUACGUAGGGUGCAAGCGUUAAUCGGAAUAACUGGGCGUAAAGCGUGCGCAGGCGGAUAUUUAAGUUAGAAGUGAAAUCCCCGGGCUCAACCUGGGAACGGCUUUUAAGACUGGAUAUCUAGAGUUUGUCAGAGGGGGGUGGAAUUCCAAGUGUAGCAGUGAAAUGCGUAGAGAUUUGGAGGAACACCGAUGGCGAAGGCAGCCCCCUGGGAUAAAACUGACGCU